CAGGGAGACAACAAAAUGUUUAAUAUUAUUAUUUUGUCACCUUAGGUCGAUCGGUACCUCACGUUCUUAAUUAAUUAAGAAUUUCAAUUUCUAAGUUUUUCUAGGUCACACCCAUUAUUUUCCUGGGCCAUUAGCUCAGGUGGUUAGAGCGCACCCCUGAUAAGGGUGAGGUCCCUGGUUCAAGUCCAGGAUGGCCCAUAUCUCUAUGUUGGGGGUAUAGCUCAGUUGGUAGAGCGCCUGCUUUGCAAGCAGGAUGUCAGCGGUUCGAGUCCGCUUACCUCCACUGAUUACCACCUCUUCCAUAACCGGUAGUAAAGGAAAUGUUUUGAGUUGUGAUCAAAUUCUGAAAGAAUCUAGCUUCCUAAUGAAAUCCAUUAAGAUGCUGGACUCAUUGAAUUAAUUUCAUUGUUUUCAGAGAACCUUGACAACUGCAUAGAUUAUUUUUAAAGACAAUAAGCAUCUUUAAUGAUGCAGAUUUAUUAUUUUUGCGAAUGCAUUAAUAACAAUUCUAUUAAGCUGAUGCUUCAAUUUUUGAAGUUAUU
RNAcentral lists this transfer RNA (542 nucleotides) under uncultured cyanobacterium. RNAcentral's name for it is "partial contains 16S ribosomal RNA, 16S-23S ribosomal RNA intergenic spacer, and 23S ribosomal RNA". The stretch from base 211 to 283 matches the Rfam family "tRNA". Lineage: Bacteria; Bacillati; Cyanobacteriota. The record is from RNAcentral.